RNAcentral lists this ribosomal RNA (676 nucleotides) under uncultured Pseudomonadota bacterium. RNAcentral describes it as "bacterial SSU rRNA". It matches the Rfam family "Bacterial small subunit ribosomal RNA", at positions 99 to 795 of the family's 1533-position model. Lineage: Bacteria; Pseudomonadati; Pseudomonadota. The record is from RNAcentral.
CGGACGGGUGAGUAACGCGUGAGAAUCUACCUUUUGCUACGGAAUAGCUCCGGGAAACUGGAAUUAAUACCGUAUGUGCUCUUUGGCGGUGGACGCUGGAGAGGAAAGAUUUAUUGGCAAAGGAUGAGCCCGCGUUGGAUUAGCUAGUUGGUGGGGUAAAGGCCUACCAAGGCGACGAUCCAUAGCUGGUCUGAGAGGAUGAUCAGCCACAUUGGGACUGAGACACGGCCCAAACUCCUACGGGAGGCAGCAGUGGGGAAUAUUGGACAAUGGGCGCAAGCCUGAUCCAGCCAUGCCGCGUGUGUGAUGAAGGCCUUAGGGUUGUAAAGCACUUUCACCGGUGAAGAUAAUGACGGUGACCGGAGAAGAAGCCCCGGCUAACUUCGUGCCAGCAGCCGCGGUAAUACGAAGGGGGCUAGCGUUGUUCGGAAUUACUGGGCGUAAAGCGCACGUAGGCGGAUAUUUAAGUCAGGGGUGAAAUCCCAGAGCUCAACUCUGGAACUGCCUUUGAUACUGGGUAUCUUGAGUAUGGAAGAGGUUAGUGGAAUUCCGAGUGUAGAGGUGAAAUUCGUAGAUAUUCGGAGGAACACCAGUGGCGAAGGCGGCUCACUGGUCCAUAACUGACGCUGAGGUGCGAAAGCGUGGGGAGCAAAUGGGAUUAGGUACCCCAGUAGUC